UUCCCAAACAAUCACCGAAGUUAAGCAAUGUCGAGCCUAGUCAGUACCUAGAUGGGUAACAGCUUGGGAAUACCAGGUGCUGUAAG
Acanthosepion pharaonis is the source of this 86-nucleotide non-coding RNA. Lineage: Eukaryota; Metazoa; Mollusca; Cephalopoda; Sepiida; Sepiidae. The record is from the annotation of a GenBank genome assembly.